Molecule: long non-coding RNA, 267 nt
Filed under: Gossypium barbadense (sea-island cotton)
Lineage: Eukaryota; Viridiplantae; Streptophyta; Magnoliopsida; Malvales; Malvaceae
Description: long non-coding RNA (GBAR_LNC004575)
Source: RNAcentral
UGAGACGGUGGGUUCUCGUGAUGUGGGGGGACAUCAUUAGUAAUGUCCUCGGGGGCCUUCUCCUCGGUAGAUUGGGAGAGGCGAUAUUGAGGAGGGUAGGUUCCUCGGCACUUUUCGAUCAUCCUCAUGCUAAGCAUGCUCGAGAUGCCUUGUGGAGAGAUCUGGCCAAUAAGGGUCAAGGAUGAUUCUUGAGCCACGGUGCAGAGGAACCCGAAGUGUUGAGCCAAUCGUGUCACAUAGGGGCCAAUGGAAAUGACCCCCUUCCUA